RNAcentral lists this long non-coding RNA (1930 nucleotides) under Scophthalmus maximus (turbot). RNAcentral describes it as "lncRNA (ENSSMAG00000027012.1)". The record is from RNAcentral. Lineage: Eukaryota; Metazoa; Chordata; Actinopteri; Pleuronectiformes; Scophthalmidae.
GAAAUGUGUCUUUCAAAAAAAAAAAAAACAGAGCUUCACAGGUUCAAACAAUGUGGAUGAUUUGUCAGUAGGCAGGAAGAAGUAGACUCACUGAAAUCUAAGUGCACGGAAAAAAAUCAAGUUAAACAUCAUUAUUAAAAACUAUAAUAUACCAAAAUAUAUAAACAUGCAUGUACACAAUAAUAAAUAAACAUUAAAAAAAUACUUCCGCACAGACACACACUCACAGCCACACCUUCACACACCUUCACACACACACACACACCUUCACACACACACACCUUCACACACACACACACACACACACACACACACACACACACAGGGGGAGGAGCAGAUGAAAUUGAAAGAGUUCAGUGAGUCAGUCUCACCUGACGAGAACAGGAGCAAAAACAGGAAACUGACGCAGUGUGUAGAAAGCUGUGAGCAGCGUCUGGGAGGAAGGUCAAGGGUCAGUCAGUUUCUCCAGCAGCAGAGAAGAGGGAACGACAAGAGACGACGAGGAGACAAACAUGGAGGAACAUGUUGGAGCUUCACCUCUCAGACCAGAGAAGAUGAGUGAUCUGGAGGAAGACGAGGACAGAGCAGAGUCUCCAGUGUUCAGCUGGUUGUCCAUGAAGAGUGACCGGUCCAAAGGUGAAUCUCCAUUCUUCAGUCCUGAACCUGGACCCUCACACUCUGAUGUUGGAGCUUCACCUCUCAGACCAGAGAAGAUGAGUGAUCUGGAGGAAGACGAGGACAGAGCAGAGUCUCCAGUGUUCAGCUGGUUGUCCAUGAAGAGUGACCAGUCCAAAGGUGAAUCUCCAUUCUUCAGUCCUGAACCUGGACCCUCACACUCUGAGUAAGAGACUGUGUCCACACCUCACGUUGUGUCUGGUUCAGUAAAUCAACCUCCAACAUGUCGAUGUAGAAACUCUUCACAGUUUCCAGUCACAGAGGAAAUGUUCACAAUGGGAAGAUGCUCAUUACAAGUUCUGAUGAUGUGAUUAACAUAUUUGAUUUAGGCCUGCAACUAAUGAUUAUUCCGUCAUUUAUUUUCAAGAUUAAUUGAUUAGUUGUUUGGUCCAUAGUCAUGAAACUGUGAAAAAUGUUGAUCGUGUUUCCCAAACCCUGAGAUAUUUUGUUUUGUCCACACCAACAAUAUAUUGAGUUUACUGUCACAGAGGAGCAAAGAAAUCCAAACAUAAUUACAUUUAAGAAGCUGAAAUCAGAGAACUUUGCCUUUUUUUUCAUAAAAACUAAUUGAACCACUAAAUUCGAUAAUCAAAUUAAUCGGUGAUUAAUUUCGCUAUUGAUUACUAAGCGAUUAACGGUUGCAGCUCUAAUUUGAUUUGUCCACAGUCACAGUCUUCCUGUCUGAUCUGCUUCCUGUCAGAUCUCAUGCUUCCUGUCUGAUCUGAUUCCUAUAUGAUCUGUUUCCUGUCUGAUCUCCUGCUUCCUGUCUGAUUUCCUGCUUCUUGUCUGAUUUCCUGCUUCCUGUCUGAUUUCCUGCUUCCUGUCUGAUCUCCUGCUUCCUGUCUGAUCUGUUUCCUGUCUGAUCUCCUGCUUCCUGUCUGAUCUGCUUCCUGUCAGAUCUCCUGCUUCCUGUCUGAUCUGAUUCCAAUCUGAUCUGCUUCCUGUCAGAUCUCCUGUUUCCUGUCUGAUCUGAUUCCAAUCUGAUCUGUUUCCUGUCUGAUUUCCUGUUUCCUGUCUGAUUUCCUGUUUUCUGUCAGAUUUCCUGCUUCCUGUCUGAUUUCCUGCUUCCUGUCUGAUCUGAUUCCAAUCUGAUUUCCUGUUUUCUGUCUGAUCUCCUGCUUCCUGUCUGAUUUCCUGCUUCCUGUCUGAUUUCCUGCUUCCUGUCUGAUUUCCUGCUUCCUGUCAGAUCUCCUGCUUCCUGUCUGAUCACCUGCUUCCUGUCUGAUCACCUGCUUCCUGUCUGAUUUCACCUGUU